CCAGACUCCUACGGGAGGCAGCAGUGGGGAAUAUUGCACAAUGGGGGAAACCCUGAUGCAGCGACGCCGCGUGAGCGAUGAAGUAUUUCGGUAUGUAAAGCUCUAUCAGCAGGGAAGAAAAUGACGGUACCUGACUAAGAAGCCCCGGCUAACUACGUGCCAGCAGCCGCGGUAAUACGUAGGGGGCAAGCGUUAUCCGGAAUUACUGGGUGUAAAGGGAGCGUAGACGGCGAGGUAAGCCUGAAGUGGAAGCCCGCGGCCCAACCGCGGAACUGCUUUGGGAACUGUUUUGCUGGAGUAUGGGAGGGGUAAGCGGAAUUCCUGGUGUAGCGGUGAAAUGCGUAGAUAUCACGAAGAACCCCGAUUGCGAAGGCAGCCUGCCGCAGCGUUACUGACGCUGAAGCUCGAAAGCGCGGGUAUCGAACAGGAUUAGAUACCCGGGUAGAC
RNAcentral lists this ribosomal RNA (447 nucleotides) under uncultured bacterium. RNAcentral describes it as "bacterial SSU rRNA". It matches the Rfam family "Bacterial small subunit ribosomal RNA", at positions 331 to 795 of the family's 1533-position model. The record is from RNAcentral.